RNAcentral lists this transfer RNA (62 nucleotides) under Ictidomys tridecemlineatus (thirteen-lined ground squirrel). RNAcentral describes it as "Spermophilus tridecemlineatus (thirteen-lined ground squirrel) tRNA". It matches the Rfam family "tRNA", at positions 6 to 65 of the family's 71-position model. Rfam says of the family: Transfer RNA (tRNA) molecules are approximately 80 nucleotides in length. Their secondary structure includes four short double-helical elements and three loops (D, anti-codon, and T loops). Lineage: Eukaryota; Metazoa; Chordata; Mammalia; Rodentia; Sciuridae. The record is from Rfam by way of RNAcentral.
UGUAGCUCAGUUGGUCGAGUGCUUGCCUUGCAUGCAAAAGGCCCUAGGUUUGAUCCCCAGCA